RNAcentral lists this transfer RNA (72 nucleotides) under Ictidomys tridecemlineatus (thirteen-lined ground squirrel). RNAcentral describes it as "Spermophilus tridecemlineatus (thirteen-lined ground squirrel) tRNA". It matches the Rfam family "tRNA". From Rfam's summary of the family: Transfer RNA (tRNA) molecules are approximately 80 nucleotides in length. Their secondary structure includes four short double-helical elements and three loops (D, anti-codon, and T loops). Further hydrogen bonds mediate the characteristic L-shaped molecular structure. tRNAs have two regions of fundamental functional importance: the anti-codon, which is responsible for specific mRNA codon recognition, and the 3' end, to which the tRNAs corresponding amino acid is attached (by aminoacyl-tRNA synthetases). tRNAs cope with the degeneracy of the genetic code in two manners: having more than one tRNA (with a specific anti-codon) for a particular amino acid; and 'wobble' base-pairing, i.e. permitting non-standard base-pairing at the 3rd anti-codon position. The record is from Rfam by way of RNAcentral. Lineage: Eukaryota; Metazoa; Chordata; Mammalia; Rodentia; Sciuridae. RNAcentral also lists the same sequence under 1 other name.
GGGGAUGUAGCUCAGUGGUAGAGCUCUUGCCUAGCAUGCACAAGGCCCUGGGUUUGAUUCCCAACACUGCAA